UGCGAUGACAACAUCACCCGGAAUGUGCCCAGUCUCACUAGAUCUCGGAAGCUAAGCAGGGUAGAGGCUGGUUUAGUUUGGGGGUGGGUGACCGCCACGCACAGCCGGUUGCGAUAGGUU
Molecule: ribosomal RNA, 120 nt
Filed under: Petromyzon marinus (sea lamprey)
Lineage: Eukaryota; Metazoa; Chordata; Hyperoartia; Petromyzontiformes; Petromyzontidae
Source: RNAcentral